AAGCGCUUGUGACCAGACUUGCGCCCGGCGGAUCAUCCGGUGUUCUCACCGGUGCACUCCGUCGGGCUCAGGCCAGCAUCGGUUCUUGCGGGGGGAUAAAAGCCUUGGGAACGUAGCUCCUCCGGGAGUGUUAUAGCCCACCGUGUAAUACCCUGGGGGGGACUGAGGUUCGCGCAUCUGCAAGGAUGCUGGCGUAAUGGUCAUCAACGA
Molecule: ribosomal RNA, 210 nt
Filed under: Chaetomiaceae sp.
Lineage: Eukaryota; Fungi; Ascomycota; Sordariomycetes; Sordariales; Chaetomiaceae
Description: partial large subunit ribosomal RNA
Source: RNAcentral